Molecule: ribosomal RNA, 481 nt
Filed under: uncultured bacterium
Lineage: Bacteria
Description: SSU rRNA
Rfam family: Bacterial small subunit ribosomal RNA
Source: RNAcentral
AGGACGAACGCUGGCGGCGUGCUUAACACAUGCAAGUCGAGCGGAAAGGCCCUUCGGGGUACUCGAGCGGCGAACGGGUGAGUAACACGUGAGCAACCUGCCCUUAGCUCCGGGAUAGCUCCGGGAAACCGGAAUUAAUACCGGAUACGACCACGGCCGACAUCUGCUGUGGUGGAAAGGAUUCCGGCUAAGGAUGGGCUCGCGGCCUAUCAGCUAGUUGGUGGAGUAACGGCCCACCAAGGCGACGACGGGUAGCCGGCCUGAGAGGGCGACCGGCCACACUGGGACUGAGACACGGCCCAGACUCCUACGGGAGGCAGCAGUGGGGAAUAUUGCGCAAUGGGCGAAAGCCUGACGCAGCGACGCCGCGUGGGGGAUGAAGCUUCUCGGAGUGUAAACCCCUUUCGACCCGGAAGAAUGCCCGCAAGGGUAUGACGGUACGGGUAUAAGAAGCCCCGGCUAACUACGCGCCAGCAGCCGC